GAUCAUGGCUCAGGACGAACGCUGGCGGCGUGCCUAAUACAUGCAAGUAGAACGCUGAAGGAGGAGCUUGCUUCUCUGGAUGAGUUGCGAACGGGUGAGUAACGCGUAGGUAACCUGCCUGGUAGCGGGGGAUAACUAUUGGAAACGAUAGCUAAUACCGCAUAAUAGCAGUUGUUGCAUGACAACUGUUUGAAAGGUGCAAUUGCACCACUACCAGAUCGG
This 222-nucleotide ribosomal RNA is filed under the name uncultured bacterium. Its description in RNAcentral is "partial 16S ribosomal RNA". It matches the Rfam family "Bacterial small subunit ribosomal RNA", at positions 15 to 229 of the family's 1533-position model. The record is from RNAcentral.